UACGUAGGGGCCUAGCGUUGUCCGGAUUCAUUGGGCGUAAAGAGCGUGUAGGCGGCCAGGUAGGUCGGUUGUGAAAACUGGAGGCUCAACCUUCAGACGUCGACCGAAACCAUCUGGCUAGAGUCCGGGAGAGGAGAGUGGAAUUCCUGGUGUAGCGGUGAAAUGCGUAGAUAUCUGGAGGAACACCGGUGGCGAAGGCGGCAUCCUGGACCAAUUCUGACGCUGAGGAGCGAAAGCCAGGGGAGCAAACGGG
Molecule: ribosomal RNA, 253 nt
Filed under: uncultured bacterium
Lineage: Bacteria
Description: partial 16S ribosomal RNA
Rfam family: Bacterial small subunit ribosomal RNA
Source: RNAcentral